RNAcentral lists this ribosomal RNA (196 nucleotides) under uncultured Pseudomonas sp. RNAcentral describes it as "partial 16S ribosomal RNA". It matches the Rfam family "Bacterial small subunit ribosomal RNA", at positions 1069 to 1271 of the family's 1533-position model. The record is from RNAcentral. Lineage: Bacteria; Pseudomonadati; Pseudomonadota; Gammaproteobacteria; Pseudomonadales; Pseudomonadaceae.
AAANUGUUCCCNGUAACNGAGCGCAACCCUUGUCCUUAGUUACCAGCACGUUAUGGUGGGCACUCUAAGGAGACUGCCGGUGACAAACCGGAGGAAGGUGGGGAUGACGUCAAGUCAUCAUGGCCCUUACGGCCUGGGCUACACACGUGCUACAAUGGUCGGUACAGAGGGUUGCCAAGCCGCGAGGUGGAGCUAA